UGGGGAAUAUUGGACAAUGGGCGAAAGCCUGAUCCAGCAAUGCCGCGUGAGUGAUGAAGGCCUUAGGGUUGUAAAGCUCUUUUACCCGGGAAGAUAAUGGCUGUACCGGGAGAAUAAGCCCCGGCUAACUCCGUGCCAGCAGCCGCGGUAAUACGGAGGGGGCUAGCGUUGUUCGGAAUUACUGGGCGUAAAGCGCACGUAGGCGGCCGAUCAAGUCAGAGGUGAAAGCCCGGGGCUCAACCCCGGAAUUGCCUUUGAGACUGAACGGCUAGUAGGUGAGAGAGGUAAGUGGAAUUCCGAGUGUAGAGGUGAAAUUCGUAGAUAUUCGGAAGAACACCAGUGGCGAAGGCGGCUUACUGGCUCAUUCUAGACGCUGAGGUGCGAAAGCGUGGGGAGCAAAC
This 401-nucleotide ribosomal RNA is filed under the name uncultured bacterium. RNAcentral describes it as "bacterial SSU rRNA". It matches the Rfam family "Bacterial small subunit ribosomal RNA", at positions 355 to 773 of the family's 1533-position model. The record is from RNAcentral.